GUUAAAACACCUGGAGACCUAUACCUGUACAAAUGAAAGCAAGCCUGAAUACUUUUAUAGUUGGUACUCAGCAAAUCCUAGCGUUGAAAUUAUAUUAAAUGCCGAGAAGAUCAAGGGAAAGGUACGAGAUUUGAUAAUAAACUUAUUUAAUGCAAGGUGAGGUGGAAUUUUGGAAAUAGAAGAGGAAGAAGGCAUUUUUAUUAUGUAGUUGGUCUUGGAGGGGGAACCUCCCCUACCAGUUCCUAGGUUUUAAAGAGCAUCAGAAGAUAUCAGGGUCCUUCUGGGCUUGCUUACGCCUCAUUUCAAUUUACUCUCAUCGGGCCUUGGCCCUUUUCACCAUCCCUAAGUUAUAAUUGCUAAUCGACGGGAGCUUUAACUAUGUGGGCUCGUAACCAUGAGUCUCGGCUAUCAAGAUAGAUUAUGACUCUGUGUAGAGGUGUACAGUUUACCCAUACAUUUGAUCAGCCCGUACCUCCGCAUGUACUGACUUACGAGAUCCAUACCCGCCCAUGCCUAUCUCUAGGGAGUAUUCCCUAGGUCCAUCCACAGAUAUGUUGGGGUCUAAACAGGGGUGACUAUCAUUCGCUACGCGGAUAUCAAUCCGGAAAAAUGUGCACAAAGUAAGCAGGGCCUCUGCCCUCAGGGUCUCCGACCCUCUUAAUCAACCCGCACCGACCAGACCUGGGACUCUGCGAAGGUCCUGCUCCAGCAUCUCCGUUGCCCACCGUGGCCCCUUGGAUGGAUUUCUAGGUUCAGCUAGCGGGGUGUGAAACAAGGCCUCCCAUAAAUAGGAACUCCCGAAGGCUAUACCUUUUUGGCAUGUAUGGUUGCACAUUUCACUAGAAAGACUUUCCCAUGAGCCGGUUCUUAUGCGACUGAAGUAAGCUUUUGGGACAAGAUCCUCUACCGAAGCUACCCCCUUACUUCCUUAUCCUGUCCUUCAUGGCUACAAUUAGUUGGUUGAUUUUAUUACUAAACUCUCACUUUCAAGGAUUUUCCAUAAAACACAUAAUGGUUGUGUCCUAAAGAAUUCUAUUUCUAAAUGAUGCUCGGUCAUCGAUCUAGUCAUGAUCGGGGUCGUUAAUGGGAUUUCUGGCUAGAAACAGCUUCAUGUCAAGGCGAGAGAGGGAAUGGAGAUGGGUUGCUCCGAUAACCUUACAAAUAUGUAGGUCAAGUUAUUAUCUUAGUAUAUUUUAUUAUUCCUAAAAACAUAGGAUAAAAUAUGAUCAAGGAGGUUGGUGCUAGGACUUGGCGUCAUUAACGCUUCCUUUAACGCUUCUUAGGUCAACCAAGGUCUUGACUUCUCGUCCUUUUGGAUCCUCGGCUUCGGGGUGGAGCCUGGUCAUUUGCCGACUGGCAUAGGCGUAUAAAAUAAUAAUUGAUAAAAUAAUACAUCAAUCAAUACCUAAGAAAUGAAAACAAAGGAGGAUGACGUACAUUUUGGGAAUUACCUGGUAUUUAAAGGUGAAUUCCCGAAUAAAGGAUGAAAGGCUUAUUAAUUAUUUAGAAAUAAGUUUCUAAAUAAUUAAUGGAUAGAUUGGUUGGGUUUUCAAAAGAAUUCUAAGAAAUUAGGAACAGAUUUCCUAGCAUGACGGCUAGGUUUGGAUGAUAAUUUGAGAUUUGGAUGGGCGGCACUAUGGCUAGAUGGGGUUAAAGAUUAGGGUUUUGGUUGGGCAUUAUAACGACCAGGUUGGGAUGAUCUUGGGGGUUUAACUUGGGCAACACAACGUCUGCGAUGAGGAGUGGAUCGGAGACUCGGAUAGAUCCUUAAGGGGUUAGGGUCACUAGGGGAUUGUGGAACGAUACUUGAGAGCUUGUGCGACAAUUGGUCUGUCCCGGCACUAGGGGAUAGCACACAUUGCGGUAGACGCAGUCGGGCAAGAUCAAGCAAAUGCGUGGCAGCGAUUGGGGUCAGCAACAAUAAUAGAGUAGCGAGGAACACCCAGCUGAGUGAUGUUAACCACGCGGGUAAAGUGGCGAGAGGCCGCACGGCGCACUCAACUUUGACCCGUCCGGCACCUAGGGGUUAGGGCACGGUAGCGGGUGGAGGCAGUGCGGCAUCUUUCUUAAUAAGGCUGGGCUCUA
RNAcentral lists this long non-coding RNA (2085 nucleotides) under Setaria italica (foxtail millet). RNAcentral's name for it is "long non-coding RNA (SITA_LNC003793)". The record is from RNAcentral. Lineage: Eukaryota; Viridiplantae; Streptophyta; Magnoliopsida; Poales; Poaceae.